Molecule: long non-coding RNA, 546 nt
Organism: Bombus impatiens (common eastern bumble bee)
Lineage: Eukaryota; Metazoa; Arthropoda; Insecta; Hymenoptera; Apidae
Exons: 3
Source: RefSeq, a predicted model, not a curated record
GCCUCUAGCGGUCAACAGUUGCACUAUAUACACAUUUCUUCUCCGCUGCUCUUGGUGAAACUACACGACAAAAUGGGAAAUGUGCAUUUGUACCGGUGAUUAAUGAAGGAAGCAACAUUCUGAAUACCACAAGCUACUGACAAUAAUGAACAUCAACAGUAGCAGCGAUAUUUUCAGAAAUGAUUGACAAGACAAGACAAUAUAAAAUAACAUCAUUUCUUGUAAAAUAAUUAUAUAAAAUCUAUUUAGAAAGAGUUCCUACAAAUCAGAUUGUAAUUUUGUAAUUUUACAAUAAUUUCAUUCUGUCGUUUGAUCAAUAGAACUAAAAUAACUUUUCCCAUAUUGCAAUUAGAAAUGACGAUCAAAAGUUGUAUUCACGUCAACUUUGUACGGCCCGGCACGAACUCAGAUUUCUCAUCUCGCUGUGUAUACGCAUAUUUCUCCCACCAAACCAAAGCACCGGAGAAGGAAAUGUGCGUAUAGUUCGAUUCUUUGACCGCUAAGGGGCGAUAAUUCGUGGAGCAUAUUUUUGGCUGAGUUUGUAAU